GACGUAGGGGGCGAGCGUUGUCCGGAUUUAUUGGGCGUAAAGAGCGCGUAGGCGGCCCGGAUAGUCGGAUGUGAAAACCCGGGGCUCAACCCCGGGCCUGCAUCCGAUACUCCCGGGCUGGAGGCAGGUAGGGGAGAUCGGAAUUCCUGGUGUAGCGGUGAAAUGCGCAGAUAUCAGGAGGAACACCGGUGGCGAAGGCGGAUCUCUGGGCCUGUCCUGACGCUGAGGCGCGAAAGCUAGGGGAGCGAACAGG
RNAcentral lists this ribosomal RNA (253 nucleotides) under uncultured bacterium. RNAcentral's name for it is "partial 16S ribosomal RNA". It matches the Rfam family "Bacterial small subunit ribosomal RNA", at positions 524 to 776 of the family's 1533-position model. The record is from RNAcentral.